RNAcentral lists this ribosomal RNA (939 nucleotides) under uncultured archaeon. RNAcentral describes it as "bacterial SSU rRNA". It matches the Rfam family "Archaeal small subunit ribosomal RNA", at positions 1 to 947 of the family's 1478-position model. The record is from RNAcentral.
AUCCGGUUGAUCCUGCCGGACCUGACUGCUAUCGGAUUGAUACUAAGCCAUGCGAGUCUUUGUAGUAAUACAAGGCAGACGGCUCAGUAACACGUAGUCAACCUACCCUAUGGACAAGAAUAAUCUCGGGAAACUGGGCAUAAUUCUUGAUAGAUCAUAAUGCCUGGAAUGGUUUAUGGUUAAAAUGAUUCGUCGCCAUAGGAUGGGACUGCGGCCUAUCAGCUUGUUGGUGAGGUAAUGGCCCACCAAGGCGAUUACAGGUACGGGCUCUGAGAGGAGAAGCCCGGAGAUGGGUACUGAGACACGGACCCAGGCCCUAUGGGGCGCAGCAGGCGAGAAAACUUUGCAAUGUGCGAAAGCACGACAAGGUUAAUCCGAGUGAUUUCUGCUAAAGAAAUCUUUUACCAGUCAUAAAACCACUGGUGAAUAAGGGGUGGGCAAGUUCUGGUGUCAGCCGCCGCGGUAAAACCAGCACCUCAAGUGGUCAGGAUGAUUAUUGGGCCUAAAGCAUCCGUAGCCGGCUUUGUAAGUUUUCGGUUAAAUCCAUGUGCUCAACGCAUGGGCUGCCGAAAAUACUGCAUAGCUAGGGAGUGGGAGAGGUAGACGGUACUCAGUAGGAAGGGGUAAAAUCCUUUGAUCUAUUGAUGACCACCUGUGGCGAAGGCGGUCUACCAGAACACGUUCGACGGUGAGGGAUGAAAGCUGGGGGAGCAAACCGGAUUAGAUACCCGGGUAGUCCCAGCUGUAAACGAUGCAGACUCGAUGAUGCAUUGGCAUAUAGCCAGUGCAGUGUCGCAGGGAAGCCGUUAAGUCUGCCGCCUGGGAAGUACGUACGCAAGUAUGAAACUUAAAGGAAUUGGCGGGGGAGCACCACAAGGGGUGAAGCCUGCGGUUCAAUUGGAGUCAACGCCAGAAAUCUUACCCGGAGAGACAGCAGAA